GACGAACGCUGGCGGCGUGCCUAAUACAUGCAAGUCGAACGCACUCUCGUUUAGAUUGAAGGAGCUUGCUCCUGAUUGAUAAACAUUUGAGUGAGUGGCGGACGGGUGAGUAACACGUGGGUAACCUGCCCUAAAGCGGGGGAUAACAUUUGGAAACAGAUGCUAAUACCGCAUAAAACCUAACACCGCAUGGUGUAGGGUUGAAAGAUGGUUUCGGCUAUCACUUUAGGAUGGACCCGCGGUGCAUUAGUUAGUUGGUGAGGUAAAGGCUCACCAAGACCGUGAUGCAUAGCCGACCUGAGAGGGUAAAUCGGCCACACUGGGACUGAGACACGGCCCAGACUCCUACGGGAGGCAGCAGUAGGGAAUCUUCCACAAUGGACGAAAGUCUGAUGGAGCAACGCCGCGUGAGUGAAGAAGGUUUUCGGAUCGUAAAACUCUGUUGUUGGAGAAGAAUGUAUCUGAUAGUAACUGAUCAGGUAGUGACGGUAUCCAACCAG
Molecule: ribosomal RNA, 500 nt
Filed under: uncultured bacterium
Lineage: Bacteria
Description: bacterial SSU rRNA
Rfam family: Bacterial small subunit ribosomal RNA
Source: RNAcentral